RNA transcript from Oncorhynchus keta (chum salmon), 1836 nucleotides. It is a transcript of the gene named dehydrogenase/reductase SDR family member on chromosome X-like, with no coding region annotated. The transcript is spliced from 6 exons. NCBI's taxonomy places the organism in Eukaryota, Metazoa, Chordata, Actinopteri, Salmoniformes, Salmonidae. The record is from RefSeq and is a predicted model, not a curated record.
CACACAUACAGUGCUGUCACACACUGUCUGCCGAUGAGCUCUGUCAUGCAGUCGUUUCUCUCUCCAGUGAACAAGGCUAUUCUAGUAGCUCUGUUCAUCUUCGCCAUCCUCCUCAUCCUCUAUGUGAUCCUCUGGUACAUCUGUAGAGACGUGGACUGCGACCACGGUAUCUGAUCUGAUUAACACCGGGAACACCACCGAAAAAACGUAACCGUGGAUAGAGACCCGUCUGAAAGAGGGUCACCCUGAGCUGCCCAGACAACAUGGCAGAGUUGGUAUAGUGACGGGAGGCAUCAGUGGAAUCUGCUUUGAGACCGCAAGACACAUGGCCAGCCUGGGGGCACACUUUAUCAUAGCUGGCCAGCAGGAGCGGGAGGGUGUGUCUGCUGUGAAGAGGAUUCGUGAGGAGAACAGAGAGGCCAAAGGUCACAGUCCCCACAACCCUGUUUGGUUUUGUGUGGCUCUGGAUAUUACUGAUUGGCUGGAGAGUGAACACACCUUUUCAAAGUUCUGUAAACAGCUGAGGGAUGAGUGUAACGGCUGUUGGAAGGAGUGGAGGACCAACGUGCAGCGUGAGGCUGAAUAGAAGAGGGUUCCCAGUGAGCUCAUGUGCAGUGGACCCUGGGAUGGUCGACAGGUCGCUCUACCGCCACCUCUUCCCCCCCGGUCGUCUUGCACAGACAGCCAUCACACGCCUACUCUUUAGGAGCCCGUCCCAGGGAGUGUCUAUGGUCCUCAACACUGCUCUGUCUCCGUCUCUGGAAGGGGAGAGAGGGGGCUACUGGAGCAACGGACGCACAGAGAUGUCAACACUAAACACCUACAACCCCAGGCUCCAGCUCGGCCUCUGGGACUUCAGCUGCAGACUAGUGAGCUUGCAGGAGCAGCACCAACCAUGACCCCUGACCUCUAACCCCUGAGCUCUUAGUCCAUGACCCUGACACCAUCACUGUAUGGCUGAGACCCAACAUCUCAUCUGUCAUCCUGCCAUUAUCUUUGUUUUCACAAUCUCGUCACCGCCAGACUGUGAUUGGAUAAAGACUGAUGACCAAGGCUGGACUGUGAUUGGUUAGUGAAGCGGUAAGACCUGUUGCAUACUCUUCAGAUGAAUGGGCUGAUGAAAAUGAACCAACCUUCUCCCUCAGGCACUGUGAACCCACACACACUGUGUUAUGAGUGUUUAUAGUGCUGCUAUGAGUGGUCAUAGUGACCUCUUGAAAAUAUAUAGCAACCUUAUGCCGGUUGGUACACAGAUCAGAACAGAAAGAACCUUCCCUCCAUGGGAAAACUUUAUUUAAUCAUAAACAAGUGUCAUCAGUGUGUGUAUGUGUCCGUAUCAGUUAUCAGUGUGUGUGAGUGAUUCUGUCAGUAGCAUCCUGUGUCUAUGAAACAUAUCCUGAUCCCUGCCUGACUGGAUGGUCCAGGACCAAGGAACAAGCCGGCAUGGCAAUAACAUCAGUAAAUCACAGCCUGAAACUGAUAUUUUCAGUUCUUGUGAAAGCAAGCAAAAGGUAUUUUGUGUAAUUUUCCCCAACGCUGUGGGUUACUUCCCCAGGGAGCCAACACCGUCUGAGAGAAUGAAUGCUUUUAGAUUGUGUCCUACCUGCUGGGCUGUGAGUCACACACUGUUUCAUGGUGUUUGUCCGCCUUUGUUACUGUUCGUGAUGUUUUAUCAAUACAUAUAUAUCACCUCUCUCAAUACAUCAUGUUGCUGUGUGUGUUUCUGGGCACAGUAUGUAUGUAUGUGUGUGUGUGUCUCUCAGUGUGCACUGUUGGGGGUUUCUUACAGUCAUUGGUUUGUAUGCAUCAGUGGCGGUUCUAGCUUGUAUGGCUCAA